RNAcentral lists this non-coding RNA (127 nucleotides) under Priestia koreensis. Its description in RNAcentral is "Bacillus koreensis SAM-I sequence". It matches the Rfam family "SAM riboswitch aptamer (S box leader)". From Rfam's summary of the family: The SAM riboswitch is found upstream of a number of genes which code for proteins involved in methionine or cysteine biosynthesis in Gram-positive bacteria. The SAM riboswitch acts at the level of transcription termination control. The record is from Rfam by way of RNAcentral. Lineage: Bacteria; Bacillati; Bacillota; Bacilli; Caryophanales; Bacillaceae.
CUCUUAUCCCGAGCUGGUGGAGGGACAGGCCCUAUGAAACCCAGCAACCAUCACCAUACUUUAUAUUUUUUUACUUGGUGAUAAGGUGCUAACCUGAUGCAAGGGGAAAGCCCUUGAUCGAUAAGAG